UUGGAGGGCAAGUCUGGUGCCAGCAGCCGCGGUAAUUCCAGCUCCAAUAGCGUAUAUUAAAGUUGUUGCAGUUAAAAAGCUCGUAGUUGAAUUUCGGGGUUAGUAGGUUGGUCAUGCCACUGGUAUGUACUGGUCUCACUGAUUCCUCCUUCCUGAUGAGCCGUAAUGCCAUUAAUUUGGUGUUGCGAGGAAUCUGGACUGUUACUUUGAAAAAAUUAGAGUGUUUAAAGCAAGCUAACGCUUGAAUACAUUAGCAUGGAAUAAUGAAAUAGGACGUUCGAUCCUAUUUUGUUGGUUUCUAGGAUUGACGUAAUGAUUAAUAGGGAUAGUUGGGGGCAUUAGUAUUCAAUUGUCAGAGGUGAAAUUCUUGGAUUUAUUGAAGACUAACUACUGCGAAAGCAUUUGCCAAGGAUGUUUUCAUUAAUCAAGAACGAAAGUUAGGGGAUCGAAGACGAUCAGAUACCGUCGUAGUCUUAACCAUAAACUAUGCCGACUAGGAAUCAGAUGAUGUUAAUUUUUUAAUGACUCAUUCGGCGCCUUACGGGAAAC
RNAcentral lists this ribosomal RNA (549 nucleotides) under uncultured Glomeromycotina. Its description in RNAcentral is "SSU rRNA". It matches the Rfam family "Eukaryotic small subunit ribosomal RNA", at positions 548 to 1098 of the family's 1831-position model. Lineage: Eukaryota; Fungi; Glomeromycota. The record is from RNAcentral.